AUGAUUGCGAAUCGUUGCCUUCAGUGCUGGCUGGCUUCGGCUUUGGCAAGUGCACGUUGGUGACUUUCAUCCAAUACCCUGUGCACCUUUGGCCUCUUGCUAGCUUCGGCCGGCAGAGGAUUUUACACAAACUCGAAUGUAAUGAAAUUUAUUGUGUGCGCAAGCACUAAUGUA
Molecule: unclassified non-coding RNA, 174 nt
Filed under: uncultured Sebacina
Lineage: Eukaryota; Fungi; Basidiomycota; Agaricomycetes; Sebacinales; Sebacinaceae
Description: sequence contains ITS1
Source: RNAcentral